This 65-nucleotide transfer RNA is filed under the name Dipodomys ordii (Ord's kangaroo rat). It matches the Rfam family "tRNA". Rfam says of the family: Transfer RNA (tRNA) molecules are approximately 80 nucleotides in length. Their secondary structure includes four short double-helical elements and three loops (D, anti-codon, and T loops). Further hydrogen bonds mediate the characteristic L-shaped molecular structure. tRNAs have two regions of fundamental functional importance: the anti-codon, which is responsible for specific mRNA codon recognition, and the 3' end, to which the tRNAs corresponding amino acid is attached (by aminoacyl-tRNA synthetases). tRNAs cope with the degeneracy of the genetic code in two manners: having more than one tRNA (with a specific anti-codon) for a particular amino acid; and 'wobble' base-pairing, i.e. permitting non-standard base-pairing at the 3rd anti-codon position. The record is from Rfam by way of RNAcentral. Lineage: Eukaryota; Metazoa; Chordata; Mammalia; Rodentia; Heteromyidae.
GGUGACUCAGUGGUAGAGUGCCUGCCUUGCAUGCAUGAGACCCUGGGUUCGAUUCCUCAGCACCA